Molecule: ribosomal RNA, 395 nt
Filed under: uncultured bacterium
Lineage: Bacteria
Description: partial 16S ribosomal RNA
Rfam family: Bacterial small subunit ribosomal RNA
Source: RNAcentral
CCUACGGGUGGCAGCAGUGAGGAAUAUUGGUCAAUGGACGCAAGUCUGAACCAGCCAUGCCGCGUGCAGGAAGACGGCUCUGAGAAUUGUAAACUGCUUUUGUAAGGGAAUAAACGCAGGGACGUGUACCUGGCUGAGAGUAUCGGAAGAAUAAGCAUCGGCUAACUCCGUGCCAGCAGCCGCGGUAAUACGGAGGAUUCAAGCGUUAUCCGGAUUUAUUGGGUUUAAAGGGUGCGUAGGCGGUCGGGUAAGUUAGGGGUGAAAGCCCGGGGCUCAACUUCGGGAUCGCCUCUGAUACUGGUCGGCUCGAGAGUAGGAGCGGUAGGCGGAAUGUGUGGUGUAGCGGUGAAAUGCGUAGAGAUCACACAGAACACCGAUUGCGAAGGCAGCUUGCC